GGAAGUGAGGACAAUGUGUCUGUGAGACUUGGUACCACGUUGAUUUCUCAGGUUGACUGAGACGGUUGCUGUGGUAGGCUAGGUGUGCGUCCACUUCUGCACUCUGCUCCAAGUGUCUCCUCUACAAGGCCGUGCACUUGGUGGGAGGGGAUGGCAUUCUUGCAGAGAAGAAUGACCACUCUUUAGUCAAGGGUAUGCAAGUAGCUGUGCUCUCUGCAAGAACCUUAAAGAGGCCUCAAGAGAUAAUACAUGCAAAGGAAGCCCAGAUGCUCUGUAACUGUGUUCAGUAGCCUCU
This 295-nucleotide small nuclear RNA is filed under the name Peromyscus maniculatus bairdii (prairie deer mouse). RNAcentral describes it as "7SK RNA (ENSPEMG00000002543.2)". It matches the Rfam family "7SK RNA". From Rfam's summary of the family: 7SK was discovered as an abundant small nuclear RNA in the mid-70s but a possible function has only recently been suggested. Two independent studies have found that 7SK RNA binds the CDK9/cyclin T complex (known as elongation factor P-TEFb). P-TEFb activates transcription by phosphorylating the C-terminal domain of RNA polymerase II. The record is from RNAcentral. Lineage: Eukaryota; Metazoa; Chordata; Mammalia; Rodentia; Cricetidae.